Molecule: long non-coding RNA, 722 nt
Organism: Sorghum bicolor (sorghum)
Lineage: Eukaryota; Viridiplantae; Streptophyta; Magnoliopsida; Poales; Poaceae
Exons: 2
Source: RefSeq, a predicted model, not a curated record
UCGUCUUCCUGUGUGGCCCACCGCCGGCUGCUUAGGCGUUCCCGGCGGUCACGAGCGCAGGCGCGGUUUUUGGUGGCCGCAAGCCUCCACAAAUCGAUGCAUUGGCUUCAUCAUUCCAAGCAAGGAUCCAAGCCUGCUUGACAUCUUCGUGCUGCUACACAUCCAGACGAUGUCGAGGCGGACAACAUGGUGGCGUCGCGAGCCCAGCCAACACAUAGCGGCGCUAGCUCUGCGUGGCCAUCGGUUGGCGCUGGAUGAAGAGAUCUACCCCUUCCUCCUUACGAUUACGAGAUGGAUGAAUCAAAGUCCACCGCGUCAGGUUUGGCCCGCCAUGAAGCCAGGGUGUACCAUGGAUGGGGAUGAAGAUGGUGUUUGCUAUGUUGGGACGGAUGCAGAGAAACUGGAUGCCAGGAGAGUGUGGAGCAGAUAGUUUGUCUAGUGGAAGCCGAAGCAAGAUCAGCACCGCAGAUCACGUGGAGAUUGGAGUUAUCAAGGUUGGCUCAAUCAACUGCUCAGCCUUCGGAGGGCUUAGGAAGUGCGAUGUCCUGUCAGUGUAAUAGGGCCUAGAUGAGUGUGUGAGCUAGAGUGUGAUUUUCUUUCCUAGCCUAAACGUUUGGCUUUUUGUUUGGCCAUGUGGCCCUGCCCUUGUUGGCACUUAAACUCUGAACUUGAGCUGCAUUACUGUUAGCUUUAUGGUAAUAAAGCUGGGGAAACCUUUUCUU